UUGGUAAAUUGUAAUAAUAAUGAAAAGCAGUUAUUGAAAAUUAAAUUGUUUUCAUAUUUGGAAAGGUGUGCUGAUUUUUUUGGUUUCUAGGUGGGAGGACAAUGAACUGUCAGCCUUUAGAAACCUACUCUCCAGAAAGUUAAUGUGGUCCUGCUGUAUAGUUCAGGCUGGCCCUGAACUCACUGUUUAGCCCAGGCUGGCCUCAAACUUGUGGCAGUCCUCCUACCUCAGCCUCUCAAGUGCUGGGAUCACAGCAGGAAAAACACUGAAGAGUAAAGGAAGACCUGAUAAAAUUAUCUAUGUAUAAUGAGAAUCUGCUCCAAAUAUUUGUUUCUUUGAGGUAAGGGCACCAAACUCCUGUUCAAUUAAAACCAUCCUUAGAAUUCAGAAUGAUUUUUUAUUUUUUAAAAUUUUAUUUAUUUUAUCUUAUUGAUACUGGGGGAUUGAACUUGGGACCUUGCAGUUGCGAGGCAGCUGGUGGCACCACUGAGCUAAAUGCCCGGCCCCCUAAUUUUUUAUUUUUUGCCUGCCCUGGCCAGAGAACCACACUUUGUGAGAAUCCAUGGCAAAGAGCCUGAGCUGCAGGAACCUGUUCCCUAUGAAUUUAUGGCAUAAGAUGGGGUUGCUGUUCUGCCAUUUAGCACCUAAUUAGCAGCUAAGGUGUUCCAGGCCCUGCAGGGUCCCCCAGCUUAUGCCAUGAAUUCAUAGGGAACGGGUUCCUGCAGCUUGGGCUCCUUACCAUGGAUUCUCAGAAGUGUGGUUCUCUGGCCAGGGCAGGCUGGUGCUUCAGUUGAACCCAGGUACCUUUUUUUUUUUUUUGAUACCAGGGAUUGAACUCGGGUCCUUGAGUUUUUGAGGGAGGCGGUGGAAUGACUGAGCUAAAUACCCAGCCCAGGUACCUUUCUUUUUGGCUUCCUUAUGAUCAUUUUUCUCAAGUGCUUAAUAGUCCUGAUUUGCACAUUAAUUCUCUUGCCUGGUAUCUUGUUGUUAACUUGCUUGUUUAGGACAGUGCCAGCAGUAUGCUGGGUAACAUUGUAGACUGUUCCAGUUUUGCCAUGGUAGCAUUUAUUUGGCACUACUUUUUUUUUUUCUUUCUUGGUACCAGGGAUUGAACUUGGGACCUUUCGCUUGUGAGGCAGGUGGCAGCACCACUGAGCUAAAUCCCCAGCCCUGGCAUUCCUUUUUAAACUACCUAUUCCCUUGGUGUCUGCAUUAUCAUCCUUCUUGUAGAUGUCCAUAUAUGUGGCCAAGGGAACAAUCCCAUGUUUUCUAAAAGGCUUAGAGAACACAUACCAGGUUCCUCUCUUUCCCUUUGUGUUCAGAUUACUGGAAGAUGGCAAUUCUGGCUAAAAGGACACACUAUAAUGUUUUUAUGAACUUGCUUUUUUCUGUUUGAUGGUACUUGCCACCUUCACCAUGUUUUUGAUCACACCUCAGAAGGACAUGAAAGAGGAUUCACAGAACUACUUCAGAAAGUGAAAAGAUGGAGCCAGGGAUUUAACUCAGUGGUUCCACCUCCUGCUCCAGAAGCGCAAGGUCCUGAGUUCGAUCCCUGGUACAAAAAAAACAACCACACAGUGAAAAGAGCAAUGGAUGGGAUGAGUGUGUUCAAAGCAAGGGGA
RNAcentral lists this long non-coding RNA (1622 nucleotides) under Heterocephalus glaber (naked mole-rat). Its description in RNAcentral is "lncRNA (ENSHGLG00000034598.1)". Lineage: Eukaryota; Metazoa; Chordata; Mammalia; Rodentia; Bathyergidae. The record is from RNAcentral.